GAUGAAGAACGUAGUGAAAUGCGAUAAGUAAUGUGAAUUGCAGAAUUCAGUGAAUCAUCGAAUCUUUGAACGCACAUUGCGCCCCUUGGUAUUCCGAGGGGCAUGCCUGUUCGAGCGUCAUUAUAACCCCUCAAGCUCAGCUUGGUGUUGGGGCGUGCUGCACUGGCAGCCCUUAAAAUCAGUGGCGGCGCCAUCUGGCUCUAAGCGUAGUAAUUCUUCUCGCUAUGGAGUCCUGGUGGAUGCUUGCCAUCAACCCCCAAUUUUUCUAUGGUUGACCUCGGAUCAGGUAGGGAUACCCGCUGAACUUAAGCAUAUCAAUAAGCGGAGGA
RNAcentral lists this unclassified non-coding RNA (329 nucleotides) under soil metagenome. RNAcentral's name for it is "partial contains 5.8S ribosomal RNA, internal transcribed spacer 2, and large subunit ribosomal RNA". The stretch from base 1 to 120 matches the Rfam family "5.8S ribosomal RNA", at positions 35 to 154 of the family's 154-position model. The record is from RNAcentral.